Molecule: small nuclear RNA, 23 nt
Filed under: Arabidopsis thaliana (thale cress)
Lineage: Eukaryota; Viridiplantae; Streptophyta; Magnoliopsida; Brassicales; Brassicaceae
Description: snRNA_17758
Source: RNAcentral
UUGUCCGUGAUCAACCACGUUAU